GACAGAGGUCCCGAGCGUUAGGCGGAAUCACUGGGCUUAAAGCGUGUGUAGGCGGCGGCCUAAGUACCUUGUGAAAUCCCACGGCUCACCCGUGGAACUGCUCGGUAUACUGGGUCGCUUGAGCCACUUAGGGGCUACCGGAACAAAUGGUGGAGCGGUGAAAUGCGUUGAUAUCGAUAGGAACUCCGGUGGCGAAGGCGGCAUACUGGACCACAUCUGACGCUGAGGCGCGAAAGCCAGGGGAGCAAACGGG
This 253-nucleotide ribosomal RNA is filed under the name uncultured bacterium. RNAcentral describes it as "partial 16S ribosomal RNA". It matches the Rfam family "Bacterial small subunit ribosomal RNA", at positions 524 to 776 of the family's 1533-position model. The record is from RNAcentral.